UACGUAGGGGGCUAGCAUUGUCCGGAAUCAUUGGGCGUAAAGAGCGUGUAGGCGGUCCGGUAAGUCCGUUGUGAAAGUCAGGGGCUCAACCCUUGAAUGCCGGCGGAUACUGUCGGGCUAGAGUCCGGAAGAGGCGAGUGGAAUUCCCGGUGUAGCGGUGAAAUGCGCAGAUAUCGGGAGGAACACCUAUGGCGAAGGCAGCUCGCUGGGACGGUACUGACGCUGAGACGCGAAAGCGUGGGGAGCGAACAGG
RNAcentral lists this ribosomal RNA (253 nucleotides) under uncultured bacterium. RNAcentral describes it as "partial 16S ribosomal RNA". It matches the Rfam family "Bacterial small subunit ribosomal RNA", at positions 524 to 776 of the family's 1533-position model. The record is from RNAcentral.